AGUAGCAGCGCUACUUCAGGUUCCCCGCGGAUAUUUUUCCAAGGGGUGAAACGGGAAGCCGGUGCGUUCCAGCAGGAACCAUUCCGGCACUGCCCCCGCAACGGUAAACGAGUCAAGGAUCUGCUCUACGCCACUGUGCACCAGCACGGGAAGGCGCAGGUCCGGGGAAUUUGCCCGCUCGUGAGUCCGGAGACCGGCCUGAAGUAAUACGACGGU
This 216-nucleotide non-coding RNA is filed under the name Candidatus Muproteobacteria. Lineage: Bacteria; Pseudomonadati; Pseudomonadota. The record is from RNAcentral.